UAUACGACCGUACCGCAAACCGACACUGGUGCGCGAGAUGAGUAUUCUAAGGCGCUUGAGAGAACUCAGGAGAAGGAACUCGGCAAAUUGACACCGUAACUUCGGAAGAAGGUGUGCCCUAUUAGUGUGUAGUGAACAACGAAGCAUGAAUGGGUUGCAAAAAAUCGGUGGCUGCGACUGUUUAUUAAAAACACAGCACUCUGCAAACACGAAAGUGGACGUAUAGGGUGUGACGCCUGCCCGGUGCUGGAAGAUUAAAUGAUGGGGUGCAAGCUCUUGAUUGAAGUCCCAGUAAACGGCGGCCGUAACUAUAACGGUCCUAAGGUAGCGAAAUUCCUUGUCGGGUAAGUUCCGACCUGCACGAAUGGCGUAACGAUGGCCACACUGUCUCCUCCUGAGACUCAGCGAAGUUGAAAUGUUUGUGAUGAUGCAAUCUCCCCGCGGAAAGACGGAAAGACCCCAUGAACCUUUACUGUAGCUUUGUAUUGGACUUUGAACAGAUCUGUGUAGGAUAGGUGGGAGGCUUUGAAGCAGGGUCGCUAGAUCUUGUGGAGCCAACGUUGAAAUACCACCCUGGUGUGUUUGAGGUUCUAACCUAGGUCCAUUAUCUGGAUCGGGGACAGUGCAUGGUAGGCAGUUUGACUGGGGCGGUCUCCUCCCAAAGCGUAACGGAGGAGUUCGAAGGUACGCUAGUUACGGUCGGACAUCGUGACGAUAGUGCAAUGGCAUAAGCGUGCUUAACUGCGAGACUGCCAAGUCGAGCAGAUGCGAAAGCAGGACAUAGUGAUCCGGUGGUUCUGUAUGGAAGGGCCAUCGCUCAACGGAUAAAAGGUACUCUGGGGAUAACAGGCUGAUACCGCCCAAGAGUUCAUAUCGACGGCGGUGUUUGGCACCUCGAUGUCGGCUCAUCUCAUCCUGGGGCUGUAGCCGGUCCCAAGGGUAUGGCUGUUCGCCAUUUAAAGAGGUACGUGAGCUGGGUUUAAAACGUCGUGAGACAGUUUGGUCCCUAUCUUCCGUGGGCGCUGCAGAUUUGAGGAAGCCUGCUCCUAGUACGAGAGGACCGGAGUGGACACACCUCUGGUGUAUCGGUUGUCACGCCAGUGGCAUUGCCGAGUAGCUAAGUGUGGAAGAGAUAACCGCUGAAAGCAUCUAAGCGGGAAACUCGUUUCAAGAUGAGAUCUGCCGGGGCCUUGAGCCCCCUAAAGAGUCGUUCAAGACCAGGACGUUGAUAGGUCAGGUGUGGAAGCG
RNAcentral lists this ribosomal RNA (1248 nucleotides) under metagenome. RNAcentral's name for it is "bacterial LSU rRNA". It matches the Rfam family "Bacterial large subunit ribosomal RNA", at positions 1635 to 2875 of the family's 2925-position model. The record is from RNAcentral.